Pelobates cultripes (western spadefoot toad) is the source of this 201-nucleotide non-coding RNA. The record is from the annotation of a GenBank genome assembly. Lineage: Eukaryota; Metazoa; Chordata; Amphibia; Anura; Pelobatidae.
AGAAGACGUAAAAUACUAUCUAGUGAUGUUUUGCUGGUGGCUAGCCAGUCACAUUACAGAAUGUCACUAGGUGUCCACAGACCUGCGUACCAUAGUGCCAAGAGGGAACCUGACAGCAGUAACAUAAUUUAGGCUGAAAGCCCAACACAUAAUCCCGUCAAGUUCAAAAUGUCACAAAUCCCUUGUCUGUCGCUUGUGCUG